This is a long non-coding RNA of Gymnogyps californianus (California condor), 2521 nucleotides long. RefSeq lists it as uncharacterized. The record is from RefSeq and is a predicted model, not a curated record. NCBI's taxonomy places the organism in Eukaryota, Metazoa, Chordata, Aves, Accipitriformes, Cathartidae. The transcript is spliced from 3 exons.
GCCAUGGUGGCAGUAGCCUCUGGAAGAAGGACAGAGCAGACAAGUCAUAAUUUACACUACAGCAGCAAGGUUCACCAGAGCACCUUAAAUGAGGGGCCCUGAAUGCCCUAAAAUGAAGGCAGCAUAAUGUAGAAUGUUGCAGCUAAGAUAUCUAGGAUCUUGGGGCAUGGGCUUAAAGCACACUAACAUGCAUUUUUCUGGGAUUUUUUUCUGGUUGCGUUAAACUUACCUGAAUGAAUUGAUUCUUUCUCCCUGCGAGGGAGGAGCUUUUGUCUGAAGACCAUAGAAAAUGCGCACACUCUUCUGGAGAUGGUCGUCUUAAACGUGCAAUUACAAAAAUGCGUUCCUUUAAUGAUUUUAGGAGAAGAAUGCACUUUCCAGAUUCCUUCAUUUUCCUUGAUUGCUGCUUCUCCUUCACCAUCUGCCCAACUCUCACCUUCUUUCUGGGUUGGAAGUGCUACAGGAUCUUUCCUUCAGACCUCAUCUGCCUCAUUUUUAAGUGUUUGCUGAAGUGGUUCAUGCAAUUCUUGGCAAGAGAUCACUCCCUGACCAUGUGACUUAGUGGAUUUCUGACACCUGUCUCUUGCUAUUUCAUCAUAUGUUGCAAACUUUUUCAUAUGAGAGUGGAAUCACUGGUGGGAAGUAUAGACUGCAUUAAUGAGUUCUGUUUUGCAGCUACUCCAUGUUUAAUGACUGACGUGCAUAUGUAUUUUAGUUUCACUUGUCCUGUCUUAUAUCUCUGUUGCUAUUUUCUGUCACACUCCCACCUUUUGCUUUUUAUGUGCAUACCAAGAAACAGAUCCAGCUGGUCUAGCAGUUAGCUGCUGCUGAAAGAGACAGAGACACUGUCGUUCUCCUGCCCUGGCUGUAUUGCAUAUUCCCACCGCUUCCCUGUUGCGUCCCUCAGUCUUUGAUUGUCAGAAUGGCAGAGGCUGGAAGGCCCCUCUGGAGAUCAUCUAGUCCACCCCCCAGCUCAAAGGAGGGUCAGCUUGAGUAGUCGGGUUUUGAAUAUCUCCGAGGAUGAAGACUCCACAACCUCUCUGGGCCACCCAUGCCAGUGUUUGACCACCCUCACAAUUUUUGUUCCUAAACGUCCCAAGAUAAAAUGAAGGAACUACAAAUGGGACAACACAUACGAGGACACCCACUGGAUACAUGGGUUUUCUGCUGUGCACAUUUUACUGAGGGCUCUAUUGAGAGAAGAACAAAACCACUGCAAAGUUCUAAGCAGGUGCUUCAUUUUAGAUACUGAAAGUGAUUCUUUGAACUUUUUUUGUCCAAAUAAAGACCAAGGGAGCACAAUGUUUUGUUUAUAAAUGUGUACACUUAGUUUCCUGUAAGAAGUGGACACCUGUGUCUGGCCUUAGCUUAUUGAAAGCCAGAGUCCUGUUAAAGCAUUACUCAUUGGAAGACCAUUCAAGUAUCACGAUUAAAGUUCAUGAUCUGCAGGUUAGACUACUGUAAUUUGAUCCGAGUUUUCCUUUAAAAUGGUGUGGGAGCUAUAGUGUUAACAAAUUACAUCUGUCUAUUGAGUUGAGGGAAGGUAAUGCAACUAAUAGUGCUCACCUCCAUCCAGUGCUAUUGUCUGGCAACCCAAUAACUACAGGUAAAAAUUCUUAUUCCUGUGUUUACAUAGGUGUUAGUAGUCUCCUUCCUGAACAAUCUUUGCUUACUGGCUGUGGCUAAUUAUUCCUCAUCCUAGAUCCAGAGGCUGUCUCUGAAUGAGGAAUUGGAAAGAGUCAACAUAGUUCAGAAAUCCCAUUUGUGUAAUGCUUUCCAAAUCCUUUUGUUACUAUAUUCAGAACAGAAAUAAUUGAUUUAUUUAGUUACUAUGACUUCUAUCUUUUAUCAUAAUAUUUUGGAUUAUUUUUUAUUGUUUUGCAGGAUGCUUUGCUUUGCUGUGAGAAUAGCUGAUUUCUUGGCUAAAUGUAGUUUUUAUUUUUAUGUAGCUAGCUUAAUAGCCAUGGUUUCCACAAUCUGUAUUUUGAUAGCACUGUGACAGUGCAGGUUAUAUCUAUGCCAGUUAACAAAUCCUAUAGUGUUCUGUCACUGAAAACAGACUGAGACAUGCCCAACCUGUUGUACUGCAUUCAUUCGGGUGACCUGCCCCAAAAGUUAUUUGACACAUCAGUAAAGAAGAAAUACUGAAAGCAACUGGAUCCAGUUUUUCUGAUGUCUCUGCCUGCCCAGCCCCUCUGAACGAGAUAUUUUUCUACAACAAAGAAUUAUCAGGUGGGAUAAGAAUUGUAUGGUAUGAAUGCAUGAGUCAAAUUUCUUUAAGAGGAGAAAGCAGUUAAUGCCUCCCAAUAGACAGUGCAGAGAGACAUUAUGGAUGAGAUAAGGUUUCUGCUCUGUAUGAAGUAGUUAGGGAGAGAGCUCAGCCAUCAACACAAGAAAAAGGACCUGUAUAACAAAGAAGGUAGGGUGACUGUAUCCAGCUGAAAUAUUAACAAACUUGAGAGUGUUAUGAAAUAUGAGAUAAGAAUGGGGUGGGACUGGGCAUCUCAGAACUGUCAUUAAA